GUCGCAGUGGCUCAGCUGGGAAGAGGUUUGGCUCUGGCGCAGAGGACCAGGGUUCGACCCCCGGUGGGGCCA
This is a non-coding RNA of Caenorhabditis elegans, 72 nucleotides long. NCBI's taxonomy places the organism in Eukaryota, Metazoa, Nematoda, Chromadorea, Rhabditida, Rhabditidae. The record is from the annotation of a RefSeq genome assembly.